RNAcentral lists this ribosomal RNA (653 nucleotides) under uncultured bacterium. RNAcentral's name for it is "bacterial SSU rRNA". It matches the Rfam family "Bacterial small subunit ribosomal RNA", at positions 202 to 842 of the family's 1533-position model. The record is from RNAcentral.
AAAAGGUGGCUAUGCUACCGCUUUUGGAUGGGCCCGCGGCGCAUUAGCUAGUUGGUAGGGUAAAGGCUUACCAAGGCAAUGAUGCGUAGCCGAAUUGAGAGGUUGAUCGGCCACAUUGGGACUGAGACACGGCCCAAACUCCUACGGGAGGCAGCAGUAGGGAAUCUUCCACAAUGGGCGAAAGCCUGAUGGAGCAACGCCGCGUGGGUGAAGAAGGUCUUCGGAUCGUAAAACCCUGUUGUUAGAGAAGAAAGUGCGUGAGAGUAACUGUUCACGUUUCGACGGUAUCUAACCAGAAAGCCACGGCUAACUACGUGCCAGCAGCCGCGGUAAUACGUAGGUGGCAAGCGUUAUCCGGAUUUAUUGGGCGUAAAGGGAACGCAGGCGGUCUUUUAAGUCUGAUGUGAAAGCCUUCGGCUUAACCGGAGUAGUGCAUUGGAAACUGGGAGACUUGAGUGCAGAAGAGGAGAGUGGAACUCCAUGUGUAGCGGUGAAAUGCGUAGAUAUAUGGAAGAACACCAGUGGCGAAAGCGGCUCUCUGGUCUGUAACUGACGCUGAGGUUCGAAAGCGUGGGUAGCAAACAGGAUUAGAUACCCUGGUAGUCCACGCCGUAAACGAUGAAUGCUAAGUGUUGGAGGGUUUCCGCCCUUCA